AUGAGUCAUGUGAUCAGUGACGUGUUGCAGCAGGUGUGAGCAGAAAGAAAAGAGUGACUUCAGGUGAGAGUUGGAGCGUCUCAUCAUCACAACCCUCCUCUGUUGUCUUCAUGCAGCCACAUCUGAUCACACAGGUUUGACUUCAUGAAGACAGAGGCUGGUUUUAGGACAGCAGAGGGCGUCACAGUCACGAACAUGGGAGCUGAAACUAACACAUGACUUCUGGAGAAGAUAUCAGAGUUCAGGAUGCUUCUUGAGUGACAGAUACCCCGCCCCCUUUCUGUGACAUCACCACUAUGUCGUCAUGAUUUCCGGUGAGCACCAGGCGAGUUCAAGACCAGGCAGCCCUGCGCAGCGCUGUUGAUCUGCCUCAAACAUUAAUGGAAUUUCAGUUUCCUCCAUUUCUUCGCAGACGAAGGAGACAAACGCCUCCAGCUCAGCCAAGUCUCGUCUCGUCUACAGGAAGUAGAGAGUGUCAGACUUCUCAGCAGCGUCUGUGUCUCCGCCCCUGCAGUCACCCCCAGAUGUUGUUGCAGAAGUUCAGCUGGAGUUCAGCUGCAACACACCCACUGAGUCUGGAGUCAGCUGAGGACAUGAACACACCCUGUCAGCAGUUCUCACUCUGUGAUUCACUCUCAGCUGUCUGUCUGUAAGCAGCUAAUAAAGGAUCUUUGAGAUGAGCAGUUAAACUCUGAUCUGUUGAAGUCUCCUGACAGCAGACUUUGUUUGUCAGAGUUUCAUCAGACAAAGAGAUUCAGUCAGUUCUGUGUUUCAGAACCGGUCCAAACAGCCGUCAGCAGGUGUGGAACAUGUUCUCUCCUCACAGACUCAGGCCUUGUUACAUACACACGAGGAUUUCUUUACAUUCAGCUGUGAUCUCCAUUCAUGAAGCUGUCAGGGAGGUAAACUGUCUCUAGAAAGCUGUUUUAAAGAGGAUUUAUCUGCUCUGUUGUCUCUCUGCUGUCCUGACAGCUGCUGGAAAAUACACAUCAUCUCAGAAUCAGACCAGAAAUUAAAACCACUUUUAUUUCUUUGAUCCCAGUUUGAAGACAGAAACAUCAGAAACAGUCACAACACACAGUUUGACACUUUUCAUGUUUUAUUCAAACGUUUGUAUAGAAAUGAUGAAGCGCUGCCUGAAAUGACCUGAUCAAGCUGAGAUAAGAUCAGAAUAAACUAAGAAUAAUACAAACAGCUGCAGAAUAAGACACAACAGUUCAACAGCCUCCAAACUGAUUCAUUAAGUCGAAUCUUUGAACAACAAACUGAACAUUAAAACCUUAUAAUUAUAAUAAACUGGACACUGAGUGUAGAGUUCAGUUAGUAACUGACUCUGGAUCAGCACCUCAACAAAUACAAGGAAGCGUAAAAAUCACAAAAUUAAAAUAUUCCCAUGAUAAAUCAUAUUUAUGAGAUAAAAGAAAAAAUUAUGUGAGAAAAACAGAAAAUUACAAAAACAUUGAUCCAUAAUUUUGACCUUUUCUCUCAUAAUUCUUAUUCUGUUAUUAUGUUGAUUUAUUUUACUUCAUUCUCUGAUGAGAAUCUUUAAUUUUUCAUUUACUCAUUUUGAUGUCCAUCCAUCCAUCCAUCAUCUGUACACAUUAUAUGUACGCCGCUUAAUCCUCUGCAGGGUCGCGGAGGGGCUGGAGUCAUUUUGAUGUUUUAUGUCAAAACAUUUAGUUUAUGUCAUGAUUAUGAUUUAACAUGGGAAUAUUUUUUUGGGCCAGAUAACAGUCCAAUAAUACCAAAAACACAAAUAUAAAAAUAUAUAUAAGUGUCACAUUAUAUUAACUGGUAGCUACAAAAUGUUGACAGUGACUGACAGUGUUAACAGCAGCUUCAGUUCAGUGAAGUCUGAUGGUUUUAAAGCACAUGUGGAGCUCAGUCAGGAGCUUUAAGCUCUACAAGCAGUCUGAUAAUAUUUGGUAAAUAGACGCAUUUAUACAUCACUGCUGCCCUCAUUCAUCCAUUCACUCACUCACUCACUCACUCACUCACUCACUCACUCACUCACUCACUCACUCACUCACUCACUCACUCACUCACUCACUCACUCACCGAUGGCAGUCAGCUACCAUGCAAGGUGCUGGUCUGACCAUCAGGAGCAGUUUGGGCUUCAGCCUGUUGCUCAAGGACACUUGGACAUGUGGACGGGAGGAGCCGGGGAUCGAACCAGCGACGUGUGAUUAACUGACCAGCUGCUAGAGACGC
Long non-coding RNA from Acanthopagrus latus (yellowfin seabream), 2211 nucleotides. RefSeq lists it as uncharacterized. The transcript is spliced from 2 exons. Lineage: Eukaryota; Metazoa; Chordata; Actinopteri; Spariformes; Sparidae. The record is from RefSeq and is a predicted model, not a curated record.